Non-coding RNA from Chiloscyllium plagiosum (whitespotted bambooshark), 239 nucleotides. The record is from RefSeq and is a predicted model, not a curated record. NCBI's taxonomy places the organism in Eukaryota, Metazoa, Chordata, Chondrichthyes, Orectolobiformes, Hemiscylliidae.
AAUCCCCUUUUAUCUCUCCACCAAUCGGGUGAUUUUGACGCCAGGGAAUGAGAAUGGGGUUUUACCCCCAAAAUAUUUCCAGAGAGUUCUGCAGCUGAAACCGUCCCGAUGUGUACUCCCCCUUGACAGAUGAAGUACUCCUGGUGCCCCAGCCACCUGCUGCCAACACUGAGCUGCUCUCAGUCCUGAGGGCCACCCACCAUGUUAUUCCAGCAGAUUAAAACACAGCCACAAACUCA